CCUACGGGAGGCAGCAGUAGGGAAUCUUCCACAAUGGGCGAAAGCCUGAUGGAGCAACGCCGCGUGGGUGAAGAAGGUCUUCGGAUCGUAAAACCCUGUUGUUAGAGAAGAAAGUGCGUGAGAGUAACUGUUCACGUUUCGACGGUAUCUAACCAGAAAGCCACGGCUAACUACGUGCCAGCAGCCGCGGUAAUACGUAGGUGGCAAGCGUUAUCCGGAUUUAUUGGGCGUAAAGGGAACGCAGGCGGUCUUUUAAGUCUGAUGUGAAAGCCUUCGGCUUAACCGGAGUAGUGCAUUGGAAACUGGGAGACGUGAGUGCAGAAGAGGAGAGUGGAACUCCAUGUGUAGCGGUGAAAGGCGUAGAUAUAUGGAAGAACCCCGAUUGCGAAGGCAGUUUGCUGCAGCGGAACUGACGCUGAUGCUCGAAAGCGCGGGUAUCGAACAGGAUUAGAUACCCCAGUAGUC
RNAcentral lists this ribosomal RNA (465 nucleotides) under uncultured bacterium. Its description in RNAcentral is "partial 16S ribosomal RNA". It matches the Rfam family "Bacterial small subunit ribosomal RNA", at positions 338 to 795 of the family's 1533-position model. The record is from RNAcentral.